Molecule: ribosomal RNA, 411 nt
Filed under: uncultured bacterium
Lineage: Bacteria
Description: bacterial SSU rRNA
Rfam family: Bacterial small subunit ribosomal RNA
Source: RNAcentral
AGAGUUUGAUCCUGGCUCAGAUUGAACGCUGGCGGCAUGCCUUACACAUGCAAGUCGAACGGCAGCGGACCUUCGGGUGCCGGCGAGUGGCGAACGGGUGAGUAAUAUAUCGGAACGUGCCUUUCAGUGGGGGAUAACGUAGCGAAAGUUACGCUAAUACCGCAUAUUCUCUGAGGAGGAAAGUAGGGGACCUUCGGGCCUUGCGCUGAUAGAGCGGCCGAUAUCAGAUUAGCUAGUUGGUGGGGUAAAGGCCUACCAAGGCGACGAUCUGUAGCGGGUCUGAGAGGAUGAUCCGCCACACUGGGACUGAGACACGGCCCAGACUCCUACGGGAGGCAGCAGUGGGGAAUUUUGGACAAUGGGCGAAAGCCUGAUCCAGCCAUGCCGCGUGAGUGAAGAAGGCCUUCGUUU